RNAcentral lists this ribosomal RNA (253 nucleotides) under uncultured bacterium. RNAcentral describes it as "partial 16S ribosomal RNA". It matches the Rfam family "Bacterial small subunit ribosomal RNA", at positions 524 to 776 of the family's 1533-position model. The record is from RNAcentral.
UACGGAGGGUGCAAACGUUGCUCGGAAUCAUUGGGCGUAAAGCGAACGUAGGCGGCUUUGUAAGUCGGGUGUGAAAGCCCUCGGCUCAACCGAGGAAGUGCAUUCGAAACUGCAUGGCUUGAGUGUCGGAGAGGAUAGCGGAAUUCCCGGUGUAGAGGUGAAAUUCGUAGAUAUCGGGAGGAACACCAGUGGCGAAGGCGGCUAUCUGGACGAACACUGACGCUGAAGUUCGAAAGCGUGGGGAGCAAACAGG